RNAcentral lists this non-coding RNA (21 nucleotides) under Caenorhabditis elegans. Lineage: Eukaryota; Metazoa; Nematoda; Chromadorea; Rhabditida; Rhabditidae. The record is from RNAcentral.
UUGAUCAUAGCUUUACAAUAG